RNAcentral lists this transfer RNA (73 nucleotides) under Saltuarius swaini. Its description in RNAcentral is "tRNA-Trp". The record is from RNAcentral. Lineage: Eukaryota; Metazoa; Chordata; Lepidosauria; Squamata; Carphodactylidae.
AAAAACUUAGGUUACACCUUAAACCAAGGGCCUUCAAAGCCCUAAACAAGAGCACGCCCACCUCUUAGUUUUG